GGCUUUGUAGUGGAAUAAAAAGACGUCAGACUGCAAUUCUGAAGAUGCGUUAAAAUGCCAGAGCUU
This 66-nucleotide transfer RNA is filed under the name Metapenaeus intermedius. RNAcentral's name for it is "tRNA-Cys". It matches the Rfam family "tRNA". Rfam says of the family: Transfer RNA (tRNA) molecules are approximately 80 nucleotides in length. Their secondary structure includes four short double-helical elements and three loops (D, anti-codon, and T loops). Lineage: Eukaryota; Metazoa; Arthropoda; Malacostraca; Decapoda; Penaeidae. The record is from RNAcentral.